This 274-nucleotide ribosomal RNA is filed under the name uncultured bacterium. RNAcentral's name for it is "partial 16S ribosomal RNA". It matches the Rfam family "Bacterial small subunit ribosomal RNA", at positions 523 to 796 of the family's 1533-position model. The record is from RNAcentral.
AUACGGAGGGUGCAAACGUUGUUCGGAAUCACUGGGCGUAAAGGGCGCACAGGCGGUUUGAUUAGUCAGAUGUGAAAGCCCACGGCUUAACCGUGGAAGUGCAUUUGAAACUGUCAGACUUGAGUACUAGAGGGGAAAGUGGAAUUCCCGGUGUAGAGGUGAAAUUCGUAGAUAUCGGGAGGAAUACCGGUGGCGAAGGCGACUUUCUGGCUAGAUACUGACGCUGAGGCGCGAAAGCGUGGGGAGCAAACAGGAUUAGAAACCCCAGUAGUCC